RNAcentral lists this ribosomal RNA (445 nucleotides) under uncultured bacterium. RNAcentral describes it as "bacterial SSU rRNA". It matches the Rfam family "Bacterial small subunit ribosomal RNA", at positions 330 to 792 of the family's 1533-position model. The record is from RNAcentral.
ACCAGACUCCUACGGGAGGCAGCAGUGGGGGAUAUUGCACAAUGGGGGGAACCCUGAUGCAGCGACGCCGCGUGGGUGAAGAAGCGCCUCGGCGCGUAAAGCCCUGUCAGCAGGGAAGAAAAUGACGGUACCUGAAGAAGAAGCCCCGGCUAACUACGUGCCAGCAGCCGCGGUAAUACGUAGGGGGCAAGCGUUAUCCGGAUUUACUGGGUGUAAAGGGGGCGCAGACGGCGAUGCAAGCCAGGAGUGAAAGCCCGGGGCCCAACCCCGGGACUGCUCUUGGAACUGCGUGGCUGGAGUGCAGGAGGGGCAGGCGGAAUUCCUGGUGUAGCGGUGAAAUGCGUAGAUAUCAGGAGGAACACCGGUGGCGAAGGCGGCCUGCUGGACUGCAACUGACGUUGAGGCCCGAAAGCGUGUGGAGCAAACAGGAUUAGAUACCCCAGUA